Molecule: ribosomal RNA, 1039 nt
Filed under: uncultured Breviata
Lineage: Eukaryota; Breviatea
Description: bacterial SSU rRNA
Rfam family: Eukaryotic small subunit ribosomal RNA
Source: RNAcentral
CUCGGGGUGCGUAGGUGUAAUGAUUAAAAGGGACAGUUGGGGGCAUUCGUAUUUCAUUGUCAGAGGUGAAAUUCUUGGAUUUAUGAAAGACGAACUUCUGCGAAAGCAUUUGUCAAAGAUGUUUUCAUUAAUCAAGAACGAAAGUUAGGGGAUCGAAGACGAUCAGAUACCGUCGUAGUCUUAACCAUAAACUAUGCCGACCAGGGAUUGGAAGAUGUCUUAUCCUGUGUUUAAACCGCAGGAAAACUCCUUCAGUACCUUACGAGAAAUCAUAAGUCUUUGGGUUCUGGGGGGAGUAUGGUCGCAAGGCUGAAACUUAAAGGAAUUGACGGAAGGGCACCACCAGGAGUGGAGCCUGCGGCUUAAUUUGACUCAACACGGGAAAACUCACCAGGUCCAGACACAGUUAGGAUUGACAGAUUGAGAGCUCUUUCUUGAUUCUGUGGGUGGUGGUGCAUGGCCGUUCUUAGUUGGUGGAGUGAUUUGUCUGGUUAAUUCCGAUAACGAACGAGACCUCAGCCUGCUAAUUAGUGGUGCAAAUGAUUACGUCCGUAAGGAGAGGGUUCUGAUGAGAGCGUUGGGUUUGACUUGGCGAUCUUAUUGGAAAACUUGUUUUCAUUUGUUAGAACUUUGAUACUUCGGUAGAUAGGCUCGAUAAUGACUUCUUAGAGGGACACUUGGUGUUUAACCAAGGGAAGUUUGAGGCAAUAACAGGUCUGUGAUGCCCUUUAGAUGUUCUGGGCUGCACGCGCGCUACACUGAUACGAUCAACGAGUACUGAAGACCUGGUCCGGAAGGAUUGGGUAAACUUUUGAAAUCGUAUCGUGCUGGGGAUCGAUAAUUGUAAUUAUUUAUCGUGAACGAGGAAUUCCUAGUAGGCGCAAGUCAACAGCUUGCGCCGAUUACGUCCCUGCCCUUUGUACACACCGCCCGUCGCUGCUACCGAUGUUUGGUCCGGUGAAAUGUUAGGACUCGCGACAGUCACUUGCUUUGCUUUCGGGUAGAGCGAGUUUGUUGUGGGGAAUUCAGUAAACCUGCU